CUUAAUUUGACUCAACACGGGGAAACUUACCAGGUCCAGACAUAGUAAGGAUUGACAGACUGAGAGCUCUUUCGAUUUUUUUUUUUUUUUUGAGGUGAAUGUGAAUCUUUAUUCCAAGUAAACAAAAUAAUACAUGAUACACUAGGGCAUACCCUAGGAUG
This 161-nucleotide non-coding RNA is filed under the name Ipomoea nil (Japanese morning glory). RNAcentral describes it as "Eukaryotic small subunit ribosomal RNA". It matches the Rfam family "Eukaryotic small subunit ribosomal RNA", at positions 1189 to 1479 of the family's 1831-position model. The record is from Rfam by way of RNAcentral. Lineage: Eukaryota; Viridiplantae; Streptophyta; Magnoliopsida; Solanales; Convolvulaceae.